UGCUGCAAGCUGUGGCAUAGUCUACAGAUGCAGCUCGGAUCUGGUAUUGCUGUGGCUGUGGUGUUGGUGCAGCUACAGCCCUGAUUUGACCCCUUGCUGGGGAACUUCCAUAUGCUGCAGUUGUGGUGGUAAAAAGAAAAAGAAAAGAAAUGAAAAGAGAAAGAAUAGGUAGGAUUUGAAGAAGCAAAGAAUGUGGGUGGCAGUCCUAGGGGGGCGUGGCCCAUCUGGAGAGAACCCGAGAAAUGGUUGAAAAUUGGCCGUGGCAGAAAUCAUCCCAACAUCGUAAAUCAACUGUAUGCAAUAAAACUUAAAAAAAUAAUAAAAAAUAAUUUAUUGGGAAUGGUUUAAAAAAAAAAAAUUGGCCAUGGAUUAUUUUCCACCUGGCUCUGCAGAGAGUUGGCUAGUACUGGCAUAAAUCAGUUCAGCAGCAGAUGCAAAUGUGUACCCCUGAGAAUGUGUGUUCUCAGAUGCACACCCCCCUGGCCCCGGGUGGCCUCAGAGUCGUCUUGUUUUCUUUGGAAGCCUGCAGCAGAGCGGCCACUAACGCUUGCUGCUGUGUCUGCUUCUGCCCUUUGGAGCAGACAACCCAAUGGCUCAGCUUGAUCAAACCUGACAUCCUCCAAUGCUGGGGUCAGAGGAGGUGGCGUGUGUGCCACUGGGUCCUGGCCUGCUAAGCUGGGGUCCCCAGGGCUCUCAGAGCAGGCUUCAAGCCGGGCCUCUUCUCUGCCCUCUGAAGCCCCAUGGUGGGAGCGAGCAGAGUCAGGCUUCAAUGUUGCUGGUGAAACAACUAUGGGUUUGGAUACUUUCAGAACCUGGCUGGGGGUGAUAUGGGCAAGCUGUGGGCAGCCAGAAGAGGGCCAGGGAGGGCGGUGCAGAUCCUGUGCAUGUGUCUGCCCAGGACGCGUGCUGAAGACUGGGGGGUCGAAAGCAGAUCUCUAUCCCUGCUGCUCCUUCCUCUGCACCAUGUCUAUGCUGGGCACAGAUCCUGAUGGGGUGAGUCUGCCUUCUCCCGUGAAUGCCGGGUCUCUUCUCCUAACAGAGCAUCCUUGCAUCCUGAGGUAGGUCCACCAAUUGUGUAUAAGGAAGUCCUGAGCAUAGAGUAUGUGCUGGUUGGCAAGUUCCACAAUCACAACCAGGUCACUUAAUUUGGUGUGACUCAGGCGACCACAUUAAUCAGGCUGGCGGACUUAUUCCUUAUGCCUUGAACUUUGGGCUCCUCGGUCUGCACUCCCUUCUAGGCUCUGGGACAAAGGCCCUUCAGAGCACUUACUUUUGUUGGAGCGUCUCUUUGAAGGCUUGCUUUGUUGGUCCCUGCUUUCCAUUCUGGGCUCCCUGACCAAGCACCCUUGCCCCUGCCCUUGUCACAGCCCCUGCACUCAAAUAGACUCCAAGCUUCCUGCCUCCACUUCCUUCCCCACUCCCAUAUUUAGAGACACUGUCUUGGUCGAGGGCUGUUGCUCUUUCUCCCCUCUCUUCACCAUCUUCUUGAAACAGGCCCCUUUCUUGUCUCCCACUGGCCUUUCGUCCAGUCUUUCUCUGACCUCAUUUUGCUGGCACAGCAAAGCCUUCCUGCCUUCUCUAGACUCUGACACUUUGUCUAGGUUACCUCCUUCCCCAACCACCCUGCCCUCCUCUAAGUUUCUUUAUCAGGAGUCUCCAUCAGAGUGCUCCUCUCAGAGACAGCCAACCCCCUUUCAGAAUGUGAAUUUGUAAUUUGGUGUGGCCUUUCUUAAGCUUUGUUUUAAGCCAUGAGAGGGUGAGCCUGCCAACCCCAAAGUUAAAGCCAUAGAUGAGAUUUUUGGGAAGGACAGCUUUCUGAAACGAUUCCUAUUUCAGCUGGUCUUAACCUCAGAGAGAGUUCCAGAUUAGCUCUGCCUUCUUGGUUACUCUCUUUCUCCUUUUGUCUGCCUUUGCCCUCCAAUUUAUCCCCAAACUUUGGACUAGAACUAGGGUGCAGCGUCUAGGAAUCACGAGGGGUGUGGCCUGCAUUGUUCAGAACUCCGGGCACAUCUGCUGUUCUUCAGCUUCCUGUCUUGUUACCAGUCUUCUUCUUGGAAACUCCUGGCAGGGAGAAGGAUGGCUCCUCAAACACCUAGGACUGGAUUCAUAGACCCAACCUCCAAGGGUACAGUGGUUCUCCACCUCUUCUUUCUAUGCUCCCGUCCAUCCAUCCAUCUUUCUGGGGCCCCACCAAGGUAGGAACCAAUCCCCCCACCUUUUUUCCGAGAAGGCCAUUUGUGUGUUUACAGGCAUUCUGUUAUUACAGUGAUCACUUCCAGGAAAAUUUAAAGACAUAAAAAACCUGCAAGAGUAUUGUUGGGAGCCUAUUUUAUUGCUAUGGCUUUAAAACAAACAAAAAUAGUAAUUCCAUUAGUAGUUGAAAAUCAUAGGAGUUCUGUAUUGUUGGCAAUAAAUUUACAGCUACUGUAACUGUGUGCCACAGAGAUAAUAAACACAACUGAAGAGCCAUUAUUGACAGGCAGGGCAGACAGGAGACAACACGUCACACUUUCUAGGCCACCAGGGAAACGAGGUGGAGGAUUUUUUUAGUGUUUGAAAAACUGUGUAUGCUUCCCUGUCCACAUAGGGUGCUGGGGGGCGGGUGGGAAGAGCACUGAAACCAGACAGAUCUGGGUUAAAAUCCCUGCUGUGGAGAGUGGAGCAGUUCCUGUGGGUCAUCAAUAAAAUGGGGGUAAUUCUACCAGGUCACAAAGAUUAAACGUAACCCUAACAUAAAGGUUCUUGUAAAUUGUUUGGAGUUCCCGUCGUGGUGCAGUGGAGGUGAACCCAGCUAGGAACCAUGAGGUUGUGGGUUCCAUCCCUGGCCUCGCUCAGUGGGUUAAGGAUCCGGCGUGGCCGUGAGCUGUGGUGUAGGUCGCAGAUGCAGCUUAGAUCUGGCAUUGCUGUGGCUCUGGCGUAGGCUGGCGGCAACAGCUCUGAUUAGAUCCCUAGCCUGGGAACCUCCAUAUGCCGCGGGUGGGCCCUAAAAAAAAAAAAAAGACCGGAAAAAAAAUUGUUCAACUAUAAAUUCCAUGAAAGCAGGACCCCUUCCAUCUUUUUCUCCCCUUUACCCCUCGUGCUACAUCCGUGCCUCGCUUGUAAUAGGUUUAUGAAUGGAACUGUCACUGUAAUAUUUUUGUUGUUGCUACAUCACUGGUAGGUAAUCAAAAGCCUUUGAUCUGGUGAAUCCCCUUGCCACUUCUUCAGCCUCAGCCAGCAACCCACCCCUCCCAACCCAGUGCCCUAGAGUGUUCAGCCAAACCAGUAGAGAUCGACAGGGUAACCAGUUAGGAAAUCAAAAGAAUAAAAAAACCUAAAGGGCUUUCCUACCAACCCAUGAGACGGAUGAGCUAUGAGUAUGUAUAUUUUAACCUUUUGGUAAAACAUUUCUGAAGCAAAUUACAAUACUUGAUUUAAUAGUGAGUCCCAGACACAAAGCAUGUCUCAGAGAGGCCAGGGAUUUGUAGCCUGAUUUGUAGGAAAUAGCUUUGGUGUAAACGUUUAUUACAGACAAGUUCUCUUUAAAGGUGGCGUAUGGCACUAUUCCACAGUAACUUGAAACGUGCUGUCUCCAGAGCUCCCCGAUUGCACCUGGUUGGAGCUCCGCAUCUUCCUUGCCUGGGACCCCUGCCUGCCACCAUCUCACCUGGCAGCACCCAGGGUGCUUUGUCAACUUUAUGUCUCAGCUGUCACACUUGCUUCUGUCAAGCAUUCAAAGUUCUCUGUUUGCACUUUGGGGCAUUGUAGAUGAUCUUCUGCCUUUUGGGUUGUUAAUUUUCUUCCUCGAAGAGAGCUAAGCACAUGUAGCCAACCACAGACUUCAGUUUCCCUGCCUGUGAAAUGAGACAUGAAGGGAGUUCCCACUGUGACUCAGUGGAAACGAACCCGACUAUUAUCCAAGAGGAAGUGGGUUCCAUCCCUGGCCUCUAUCAGCAGGUUAAGGAUCUGGUGUUGCCAUGAGCUGUGGUGUAGGUCUCGGAUGCAGCUUGGAUCCCACAUUGCUCUAGCUGUGGUGUAGGCCGGCAGCUGUACCUCUGAUUUGACCCCUAGCCUGGGAACUUCCAUAUGCUGCA
Molecule: long non-coding RNA, 4073 nt
Filed under: Sus scrofa (pig)
Lineage: Eukaryota; Metazoa; Chordata; Mammalia; Artiodactyla; Suidae
Description: lncRNA (ENSSSCG00050064728.1)
Source: RNAcentral